UGCUUUAUUGGUCUAUGUUGAUGAUAUUCUCAUCAUAGGAAGUGAUGGUCAAGGAAUUGCUGAUCUCAAAUUAUUACUUCACUCCUCAUUUGAUAUGAAGGAUAUGGGACAGUUAACAUAUUUUUUGGGUCUUGAAAUUUCUCGUAAUACUCAAGGUUAUCUCUUGAGUCAACAGAAGUAUACCUGUGAUUUGAUCAAGCUUGCAAACCUUACAGAUAACAAGACCCAUGAGACUCCUCUGGAAUUGAAUGUCAAGUAUGGGAAAGAUGAUGGCGACCUUCUCUUUGAUGUUACAUUUUAUAGGCAGCUAGUGGGAAGACUAGUCUAUCUCACUAUGUCUCGUCCCGAUUUCUCAUAUGCAGUUCAUGUUGUUAGCCAGUUUGUUGAGGCUCCUUGCACAUUGCAUAUGACGGUAGUUCAUCGCAUUAUUCGUUACCUUAGAGAUUGGGCAGGAUGUCUCAUUUCAUGACGGUCCACCACGGGUUAUUGUGUUUUCUUAGGACAAUCAUUGGUUAGCUGGAAGUGUAAAAAGCAAACCACGGUAUCUAGAUCCAGCACAGAAGCAGAAUACCGUGUAAUGGCAGAUGCAUGUGGUGAAAUUACUUGGUUCCGGGGAUUGUUGACAGAACUUGGGAUCCUUUUGUCUAUGGUGACUCCAUUAUAUGCUGACAAUCUUAGUGCGAUUCCGUUGGCUUCGAAUCCAAUAUUUCACGAGCGCAGUAAACACAUUGAAGUUGACUGCCACUUUGUGAGAGAAAAAUACAUAGCUGGAAUCAUUUCUCUUCAUCAUGUGACUUCAGAGUUGCAACUUGCUGAUUUUUUUACCAAAACUAUGACAUCUUCUCGUCAUAGGUUUCUUCGUGGCAAACUGAUGUUGGUUCAUUAUCCCACAUCAGUUUGAGGGGGGAUGUGAAUAGAAUAUUGUAUAUAUGGGUUGUUAGGUGUAAAAUACCAUGUAUAGAGAAGCUCUUAAAUAACCUUCCUUGUAUAGCCUUGUAAUGUGGUUAUUUAAACCCACCUUUGGGUUGAAGAAAUAUAGAAAACA
Magnolia sinica is the source of this 1045-nucleotide long non-coding RNA. RefSeq lists it as uncharacterized. The record is from RefSeq and is a predicted model, not a curated record. NCBI's taxonomy places the organism in Eukaryota, Viridiplantae, Streptophyta, Magnoliopsida, Magnoliales, Magnoliaceae. The transcript has 2 exons.